RNAcentral lists this ribosomal RNA (452 nucleotides) under Acrocera orbiculus. Its description in RNAcentral is "partial 16S ribosomal RNA". The record is from RNAcentral. Lineage: Eukaryota; Metazoa; Arthropoda; Insecta; Diptera; Acroceridae.
UUAAUGGCCGCAGUAUAUUAACUGUGCAAAGGUAGCAUAAUCAUUAGUUUUUUAAUUGAAAGCUUGUAUGAAUGGUUUGAUGAAAUAUAAACUUUUUGUUUUAAUUAUAAUUGAAUUUUAUUUUUUAGUUAAAAAGCUAAAAUUUAUAUAUAAGACGAGAAGACCCUAUAGAUUUUUAUAUUUAUAAUAUUUUAUUUAUAUAGUUAAAUUAAAAUAUAAUAAUUUAUAAUAUUUUAUUGGGGUGAUAGUAAAAUUUAAUAAACUUUUAUAUAUUUUUGUUACAUUAAUUAGUGAAUUUUUGAUCCAUUAUUAAUGAUUAUUAAAUUAAAUUACCUUAGGGAUAACAGCGUAAUUUUUUUAGAGAGUUCUUAUCGAUAAAAAAGAUUGCGACCUCGAUGUUGAAUUAAAAUUUAUUAUAGGCGCAGUAGUUUAAUAAUAAAGUCUGUUCGACU